CCGACCUGACAGGCCACAUGCCGCUGCUGUACACCCUGGCCGCAGGACACAGAGCACUGAGGAGACAAGACAUCGUAAGUGGGUGCUGGGGCUCCUCUGUGGGAGAGGAAGGUCGCAGCAGAGGGAAGUGCUGUCCCACCCAAUCCCAUGACGUGUACGGUUGUCACCACUGAAAGGGACAGCACAGUCCGGUCUGAAACCUGAGCUCACUGCUCAUCAGCGCUGCUGAGGGAGGCAGUAUGACUAUGCCGGUGUUUCUCCCCAUCAAGAGAGAACCGAAAGCCAAAAGAAUCUGCAGAUGCUUUACCUGGAAAGUGGCAAAGGUGAAGGUGGAGUAAGGAGCCCUCUGUGCCUGCCACAGGAGCGUGUAUGAAAGCAGUCUGGAUGGCAGGGAGGAUGCUGGGUGAGACACAGGUCCCAGGGCCUGUGCCAGCUGUGCACCGCAGUCAAGUUCAGAGCUCGACACGCCAGUCACCAUCAGAAAUGUUCCCACAGGAAGGCAUCAGUGCACUCUGCUCCUGACUCUCCCAUGCUUGAUCUGUGUCCACCCCGUGGACAUCCUCUUCCCAAAGAGCUGUCCACGUGUUCAUCAGCCACUGAAGGACACUGAGACAGACAGCAUUUCAUCGCCACACCCAGUCCUGCUCACUGCCUGUCUGGCCUCCCACCCGAGAGCUCCAGGUAAAGCAGCGUCUCUGCAGGUCAGCUGUCACAUGCUGUUGGCCUCUGCGUCCCUGGGUGGUUCCAUAUCCAUAGAUCCGACCAAUCCGGGGCACAGUUAUUUGCAGCACCGCUAGGUGUUCUAAGUGGCCUGGAGAUGGCUUUACAUACCGAGGAGGACCGCAUGGGCUGUACGCACGCACUGUUUUCUGAAAGACACUUGAGCACUCCCACCUGUGGAGCCGCAAUCUGUCAGGGGUCCUAGGACUAAUCCCCCAGGUACCAAGGGACGAAAGUUUAUACCUAUUUCAGGAAGCCGCUCAUCGAAUCACUUGGGUUUGAGGUGGAAGUAAUGUCACCCCAGGACUGAGAUGUGCACGAGUAUCUGAACCAACAUCGUAACAUCUGAGCUAACCUCAAAACAGAAGGGGAGAGGGGCAUUUUACCAAUUAUUGAAUCAGGUGCUCACCCUCCAGCUUUCAACUGCUUUGCUGACAGUUCAGACGGCGGAGUGCCUCUCAGUCUGCAUUAUUUGAGUGCUUCCUGUCUCUCCUUGUCCCCCACACCUACUGAUAAAGAAGACUCAAAAGCACCACCAUGAAAGUAACACGGUGAGAAGCAACGAAAACCAGCCAAUGUGUCAAUGGCUUUCAACAUGGAAGACUUGUCUUUAGAAGUGGUAACAAUUAUGUUCAAUGGUUUUCUGCAAAUUUAAAUGAUCCUGUACUACUCUGAGAGUUAUUCCAACAGAAAUUCAAGAACUGAGGCAGAAGACUGUGGUAGUUAUGCACCCAGUCCAUUGUCUGAGCUGCUGUGGUCUUCUGAGUUGCUGCAAUGGCCUGGCCUUCUAGACAUUUCCCUGCCUCCAUCAUUUUGUGUGUCAUAUUUGAGUUUGAACCCAGGGCCUCGCACAUGCUAGGCAACCACUCCACCACUGAGCGAUUUUUGAGCUAGGGUCUCUUUAAAUUGCCCAGGGUGGCCGCCAACUUACAAUCCUCGGCUUCCGCCUCCCAAGCAGCUAGGGUCACAGGUUUGUGCCACUGCAUGUGAGUCCUACUUCUGUCUUUGCUUCGCUUAUAGCCUCCCUGAAUUCAGAAGCCAGAGCCGUCCUUUCAGAACAAAUUCAUGUUCUUAUUCAACACCGAGUCCCACUGCAGUGGCUUCUAUCUCAAAGUGAAAGCAAAACUCUGCCCAGGGCGUGCCCCUCUCCUGUCCUGCCCACAGGACACCUUUGUGCUGCCUCCCUCUAAACUGCACACCCUGUCCCUCUUCACCCCACCACCCCUGUCUUCCCAUCACUCAGAUGCUCCCGGCAGCACUCCUAUCCGGGUGCGCACAUUCUUUGCUUUUGUAUUUUCCCAUAUCUUUGUUCAAAUUGCACCUUCUGAAUGGAAAACCUCCUUAAAAUAAUAGUCCCACCCCUCUUCCGUGCUGUCCCUGUCCCUUUUCCCUGCUGAGUGUUACCUGUAAUGCUUUUCACCUUCCUCGCUUUCCUUCUGGGUUGUUAUUUAUAGGCUGCUGUCCUACUAGGAUAGAAGCUUGAUGGGUUUUCGGGUUUUGUGUGUUUGUUCCAUCCCCAGUGCCCAGAACAGUGUCUGGUGUUUGCAAAACACUCAGCUACAGAUGAAUGCACACAUGGAUAUUAUCUAGUAGAACCCAGAGCCACUUAUAGCACAGAAUACUUAAGGAUUGCAAAGCUUUCUGCCCUAUGUUCAGUUUACUGUAAAAACCAAAUAAAUAACUAUUGCUCUC
Long non-coding RNA from Heterocephalus glaber (naked mole-rat), 2412 nucleotides. RefSeq lists it as uncharacterized. The record is from RefSeq and is a predicted model, not a curated record. Lineage: Eukaryota; Metazoa; Chordata; Mammalia; Rodentia; Bathyergidae.